AAUAUUUCCAUGUGUUUUUUUAUUCAAAUACAAAUGAACUUGUAAACAAACACCCACUGUAUUAUUACAGUAAUUUUCAAUCUAAACUGAUUUCUACUAGUGAAAAGUGCUAGACAAGAACUGGCUCUUAUGAGUACCUGAAGUAUAGCUUGGGUAAUACACAGUUGAGACAAAUGUCAAACAGUAUACAUAGUUAAGAGUAAAUUAUAGUUCAAGAUUUUUAAUUACCUGUUUUUGUAAUCCCAAAAAAAUAGUAACAAGUCUUUUACAUUUAUUAUCUUUAACUUGACAAUAUCCCUUCCAACAAUUUUGGGGGCCUGAAGUUAGCCAUUUUAUUCAAACUGAUAUAAGGAAACAGAGUUUGGCUUCUCAAGCUCCCUAAUCAUACAU
Long non-coding RNA from Dermochelys coriacea (leatherback sea turtle), 390 nucleotides. RefSeq lists it as uncharacterized. The record is from RefSeq and is a predicted model, not a curated record. The transcript is spliced from 2 exons. NCBI's taxonomy places the organism in Eukaryota, Metazoa, Chordata, Testudines, Dermochelyidae.